UGAGGAAUCUUCCACAAUGGGGGCAACCCUGAUGGAGCAACGCCGCGUGCAGGAUGAAGGCCUUCGGGUUGUAAACUGCUUUUAUAAGUGAGGAAUAUGACGGUAACUUAUGAAUAAGGAUCGGCUAACUACGUGCCAGCAGCCGCGGUCAUACGUAGGAUCCAAGCGUUAUCCGGAGUGACUGGGCGUAAAGAGUUGCGUAGGCGGAAGUCAAAGCGAAUAGUGAAAUCUGGUGGCUCAACCAUACAGGCUAUUAUUCGAACUCGGCUUCUCGAGAAUGGUAGAGGUUACUGGAAUUUCUAGUGUAGGAGUGAAAUCCGUAGAUAUUAGAAGGAACACCAAUGGCGUAGGCAGGUAACUGGACCAUUUCUGACGCUAAGGCACGAAAGCGUGGGGAGCG
This 400-nucleotide ribosomal RNA is filed under the name uncultured bacterium. RNAcentral's name for it is "bacterial SSU rRNA". It matches the Rfam family "Bacterial small subunit ribosomal RNA", at positions 355 to 770 of the family's 1533-position model. The record is from RNAcentral.